UACGUAGGGCGCAAGCGUUAUCCGGAAUUAUUGGGCGUAAAGAGCUCGUAGGCGGUUUGUCGCGUCUGCCGUGAAAGUCCGGGGCUCAACUCCGGAUCUGCGGUGGGUACGGGCAGACUAGAGUGAUGUAGGGGAGACUGGAAUUCCUGGUGUAGCGGUGAAAUGCGCAGAUAUCAGGAGGAACACCAGUGGCGAAGGCGGUGCUCUGGGCCGGAACUGACGCUGAGGAGCGAAAGCGUGGGGAGCAAACAGG
RNAcentral lists this ribosomal RNA (253 nucleotides) under uncultured bacterium. RNAcentral describes it as "partial 16S ribosomal RNA". It matches the Rfam family "Bacterial small subunit ribosomal RNA", at positions 524 to 776 of the family's 1533-position model. The record is from RNAcentral.